Molecule: microRNA precursor, 205 nt
Organism: Oryza sativa Japonica Group (Japanese rice)
Lineage: Eukaryota; Viridiplantae; Streptophyta; Magnoliopsida; Poales; Poaceae
Rfam family: MIR812 microRNA precursor family
Source: Rfam
AAUGAGAUUAGCCAUGAGUUUCUGUAUCCAACUUUGAUCGUCCGUGUUAUUUGAAUUUUAUUUAUAAUUAUUAUUUUUAUUGCUAUUAGAUUUAAAACAUGAAUAAUACUUUAUAUGUGACUUAAGUUUUUUAGCUUUUUCUAAAAAAAAAUUAAAUAAGAUGGACGAUUAAAGUUGGACAUGGAAACUCAUGGCUGCGCUUAUU